RNAcentral lists this small RNA (2362 nucleotides) under Pongo abelii (Sumatran orangutan). RNAcentral's name for it is "retained intron". The record is from RNAcentral. Lineage: Eukaryota; Metazoa; Chordata; Mammalia; Primates; Hominidae.
CCUGGCCUCUUCCUGGGGCCUGGAGCCCUGGUUGCCAUCAGCCAUGGCUCCCAAAAAGAGUGUGAGCAAGGCAGGCAAGGAGCUUGAAGUCAAGAAGAAGAAAGGGGGCAAGAAGGAGCCGGUGGUGGCCGUGGAGCCGCCUCUGGCCGAGGAGAUGAAGGAGUUCUACCACAUCCAGAUCCGAGACCUGGAGGACCGGCUGGCCCGGUACCAGCGGAAGUGGGAUGAGCUGGCUGUGCAGGAGAAGCUGUUCCGCCAGGAGUUCGAGCAGCUGGCCAAUAACAAGAAGGAGAUUGUGGCCUUCCUCAAGCGCACGCUCAACCAGCAGGUUGAUGAGAUCACAGACCUCAACGAGCAGCUCCAGAACUUGCAGCUAGCCAAAGAGAUGGAGAAGGAUGCCUUCGAGGCGCAGCUAGCCCAGGUGCGCCACGAGUUCCAGGAGACCAAGGACCAGCUCACCACGGAGAACAUCAUCCUUGGUGCGGAAGCAGGAGAAUGAGUUCAGGGACUAUGCAUACAACCUGGAGAAGAAGUCGGUGCUGGACAAGGACAGACUGAGGAAAGAGAUCAUCCAGCGCGUGAACCUCGUGGCCAAUGAGUUCCACAAGGUGACCACGAACCGGAUGUGGGAGACAACCAAGCGGGCCAUCAAAGAGAACAACGGCAUUAGCCUGCAGAUGGCCAGGGUCUCCCAGCAAGGCAUGAAGCUGCUGCGGGAGAAUGAGCAACUCAAGGGAAGCCAGAACAAUCUGUGCAAACAGCUGGAGCUGCUGGAGAACACCCAGAAGGUCAUGGCCAGGCACAAAAGAGGCCACCAGAAGAUCAUCCUCAUGCUGACCAAGAAGUGCCAGGAGCAGCAGCAGGACACCAAGGAGGCCCAGGAGCUGCGCCUACUGCUGAGCCAGUUGGAGCAGAGAUCCCUGCAGCUGCAGGAGCCAGAGAGACCAGCUGAGCCUGCAGCUGGAGCAGAAGCAGGUGGAUUUGCAGCAGCUACAGCAAAAACUGGCUAAUGAGCAGAAGGUUCGGGCCAGCCUGGAGGCGGCUCUGGUCCAGGCCACCUCCUUCCUACAGAACAUUCUGCAGGUGAGCAGAAGGGAGGGAGGGAGGGCGCAAAGGGAGGGGGAGUGAGCCCAAGAUGGAAGCUGCUUGCAGAGAAGGGGCAGCCUCAGGAUCAGAGGCCCCUCUUUUCCCUGAGAGACUCCUGGAAAGUCUGUCCUUCGCUGAUUCUGGCCUUCAAAGAUCCCUCCAAGGUCUUAAAGGAGUUGGAUUCCUUCUCUGAGGCUCUGAAAGGUCUCGGGCCUCAGUCUUCCAGACUGAAGAAUGGGUAUCCCACCACAGACAGGGAAAACUUUGUGGAAAUGGGCACUGAGGUUGGAAUUUCCUGGAGGAGGGUGGGUACUGGGGCCACUGUGGGCCUGCUGUCACCCCACCCUCACCAACAGAUGCACCCCGAUGAAGAGGACAGCGACUUUGACGUGACGUUCCAGCCAUGGCACAAGGAGAUGCUGCAGCAACUGCUGGUCAUGCUCGGCUCCACUGUGGUCCCGAGACCUCAGAAGGCUGUGUGUCCCCACCGGGAGUCACAGUCCCAUGGCCCACCCAAGGAGAGCCAGCCCAGCAUCCAGCUGCCCAGGACUGGGUCUCUGCUGCCGCAGCUCUCUGACAUCACCCCCUACCAGCCGGGGGAUCUAGGCCUGGUACCUCGCCAGGCCCACAUCCCACCCAACCCCCAGGACCUCAGGCUGCUGUCAUAUAUCACCCGUGUGGGGACCUUCCGGGCACACAGCAGCCCUGAGCAGGGAAAGAGUGGGAUCCUCCUGAAGAGGCCUCAGCUUCCAAACCAGCAUCUUUUUUUUUUUUUUUUUGAGACAGAGUCUCACUCUGUCACCCAGACUGGAGUGCAGUGCCGCAAUCUCAGCUCACGGCAACCUCCGCCUCCCGGGUUCAAGUGAUUCUCCUGCCUCAGUCUCCCAAGUAGCAGGGAUUACAGGCAUGCACCAUCAUGCCCAGCUACUUUUUGUAUUUUUAGUAGAGAUGGGGUUUCACCAUGUUGGCCAGGCUGGUCUCGAACUCCUGACGUCAAGCAAUCCCCCAGCCUCGGCCUCCCAAAGUGCUGGGAUUGCAGGCGUGAGCCACUGCACCCGGCCUCCAAGCCAGCAUCUUUAAUCUUACAGAUGCGUGCACCUGGUUCUCUAAAAAGGCUUGAAAAGUUUAGUCUUCCUGAAGUUCCCCUACGUCCCAAGUAGGACACAGAGAGAAGAACCUACUCCAGAAAUGGACUGGUCCAGUCACAGUCACCCCCACUUUAAUCCGCAGGCAGCCUGGAACAGUCUAGAGGAGAUUUGUAUAAAAAGUAGAUACC